UAGGCAGCAGUGGGGAAUAUUGCACAAUGGGCGAAAGCCUGAUGCAGCGACGCCGCGUGAGGGAUGACGGCCUUCGGGUUGUAAACCUCUUUCAGUAGGGAACAAGGCCAGUGUUUAGCUGGUUGAGGGUACUUGCAGAAGAAGCGCCGGCUAACUACGUGCCAGCAGCCGCGGUAAUACGUAGGGCGCAAGCGUUAUCCGGAAUUAUUGGGCGUAAAGAGCUCGUAGGCGGUUUGUCG
Molecule: ribosomal RNA, 239 nt
Filed under: uncultured bacterium
Lineage: Bacteria
Description: partial 16S ribosomal RNA
Rfam family: Bacterial small subunit ribosomal RNA
Source: RNAcentral